Molecule: ribosomal RNA, 164 nt
Filed under: Astragalus albicaulis
Lineage: Eukaryota; Viridiplantae; Streptophyta; Magnoliopsida; Fabales; Fabaceae
Description: 5.8S ribosomal RNA
Rfam family: 5.8S ribosomal RNA
About the family: 5.8S ribosomal RNA (5.8S rRNA) is a component of the large subunit of the eukaryotic ribosome. It is transcribed by RNA polymerase I as part of the 45S precursor that also contains 18S and 28S rRNA.
Source: RNAcentral
AGAAUGACUCUCGGCAACGGAUAUCUAGGCUCUUGCAUCGAUGAAGAACGUAGCGAAAUGCGAUACUUGGUGUGAAUUGCAGAAUCCCGUGAACCAUCGAGUCUUUGAACGCAAGUUGCGCCCGAAGCCAUCAGGUUGAGGGCACGUCUGCCUGGGCGUCACAC